This 76-nucleotide transfer RNA is filed under the name Aquitalea sp. USM4. RNAcentral describes it as "tRNA-Ala". It matches the Rfam family "tRNA". Rfam says of the family: Transfer RNA (tRNA) molecules are approximately 80 nucleotides in length. Their secondary structure includes four short double-helical elements and three loops (D, anti-codon, and T loops). Further hydrogen bonds mediate the characteristic L-shaped molecular structure. tRNAs have two regions of fundamental functional importance: the anti-codon, which is responsible for specific mRNA codon recognition, and the 3' end, to which the tRNAs corresponding amino acid is attached (by aminoacyl-tRNA synthetases). tRNAs cope with the degeneracy of the genetic code in two manners: having more than one tRNA (with a specific anti-codon) for a particular amino acid; and 'wobble' base-pairing, i.e. permitting non-standard base-pairing at the 3rd anti-codon position. The record is from RNAcentral. Lineage: Bacteria; Pseudomonadati; Pseudomonadota; Betaproteobacteria; Neisseriales; Chromobacteriaceae.
GGGUCUAUAGCUCAAUUGGGAGAGCGCCCGCCCUGCAAGCGGGAGGUUUCCGGUUCGAUCCCGGAUAGAUCCACCA